Molecule: non-coding RNA, 438 nt
Organism: Corylus avellana
Lineage: Eukaryota; Viridiplantae; Streptophyta; Magnoliopsida; Fagales; Betulaceae
Source: RefSeq, a predicted model, not a curated record
GAGGAGGACAACCAUGGUGGCCACUGUCACUGCUUCCUAUUUUCUCCUAACCGCUGACUAUGGCCCUGAACCCAACGUUCUCGAUCCUAUUGAUGCAUGAUUAACAUUUGAAAGAUGAUCACCCAAGCAUGAACAAAAGCGCAGAUUAAGAAGGCGAUACUAUCAGCGCAAAAUUCUGUCAAAGAGUUUGUAUUUGGAUCAAAGAAAUAACCUCAAGAGAGUCGAUGCGGAAGUUGGGUUCCAAUAGUGCAAAGGAUCAUCUUUAGUUGAUGGGCAGCACACAUUGUAUAGGACAUCAUGGGUUUAAGGUUUUGUUGAAUAUUUGAAGGGUGUAAUACGAGACCCAGUUCUUUUGACACGUAAUUUGUAUUGUUUCAAGGAUAUCUCGUAUAUUUGGACCUCUUGCUGGAAAAAAUACAUGCUAUGGAUUGAACGUCA